Molecule: long non-coding RNA, 3489 nt
Organism: Bombus impatiens (common eastern bumble bee)
Lineage: Eukaryota; Metazoa; Arthropoda; Insecta; Hymenoptera; Apidae
Exons: 3
Source: RefSeq, a predicted model, not a curated record
UGAUAUUAUUUUUUAUAUAAUCGUAGGUAAUUGCUUCUAGAAUAUACUUUAAUAUUUAAAACGAGUUUAAAGAGGCCGAAGGGACUUCGUUCCAUUUUAAUCCCCUUUAAGAGACCCAUUUUGGCCCUAGACAGAAAGGGAGCACUCUUUGCACCUACUCUUUGCUGUCAGAGUGCGGACUAGCCUCCAUUUUCUCUACUCUAAAAGCCUUCUCGUAACAAAAAGCUACAACCUGAAAAUAUUUCAAGCAAUCCUACUUGAACCUUACAUUGGAACUAAUACUUAGAAAACCAGUAAAUCCUUCGUUUUCUAUCAUAUACCCUUCCCUUAUGAUUAUCGUUUAAGACUGAUCUCUCUUUUUUCACAAGUCCAAUAUAAAAUCUGAAUAAAACUCUACGAUACUUUUUUGGUCCACCGUCAUUCGAUAUUUCUUAGAAGAGUUUUACGAAGAAUGCUCCCAUAGCUGACAGUCUUUUUCUCACGUUUUCCGCUUGAGAAGCUACGGUCAUUCAGCCGCGACUCGUUUCGUCGUUUAAUCCUACAUGCACUUGACUCGAGAGACCGCGUGCAACCUGUGCCCUAUAUUCGCAUGGGGGUAACCGAACCCCAGAAACACCCUCAAGGAUCCAGCGAGGGCUACAACGUUUAAAAUAAAUUUCAAUUCAGAGCCAGAAGGGGUGUGUAUCACUUUCACUAGACCUCUGUCGUGUUUAACGAGCUAUUGAUAUCUUCCACCCACCAAAACUCCCCUCUGUACAGUGGUAAGGAUAUAUACGUAUGUAAGCUACGUGCUCUAGUCGUUAGCGGCCCCUUUCCUGGCCCCCUUUUUUUGACCAGGAAAACCGCCACAUGUGUGUGAUAUGUGUUAAAGCCCAGGCGAGAUCUACAGUGAUUCCAUUCUAAAGUCUUGCCCUAUGGGAAAGUUCAGGUGCUCCAGUGGUUGUGGUUAAACCAGAAAAUUAGGUUCACGGUGAACUACCGAUGUAGGGCGAUCGAUUGUGGGAAGUUUUGCAAGAAGCUUGACCAGUCUUCCCUUAUGGGACAAACUGUAUCGAGUGUUACGCCUGAUGGAAUUGCAUUCAGUGAAAUUUUAUGGUGUAUAGAGAAGCAAGUAUUUUUAGCAUAUUUAUUCGAAGGUAGCCUGAAUACGGGUAAUAUUUCUUUCAUUCUUUACGGUAUCCGGGCCAGUUUCCUGUCACCUUCUUUUUAAAAAAUCAUAGCGAGGAGAUGAGACGAUUAAUUCCAGACAUUUUUCUUGAGAACAGUGCAGUUUCCUGCACGAACAUCAUCGACUAUAGAAAUCCAAGGCGACAAAGCACAGGAAUUCUUUGAAAGGACAAAACAGUUCGAGCCUCAGAUUUCUAUCCUCCUCGUCGUGAAUGGGAAACAUGUGAAAAAGGAGCCAGGAAGUGCGUAUACCCACGAGGAUCCAUUGCGACAUAAUAAACGCUGCUGACCGCGUUUUUCUUGCUUUUAUCCUCUACGUUCGUUCAUCUUUAACGCAAUAUUAGAAUCCAUUCAUUGAGAAAAACUUCUAUCAAUUAGAAAACUCUAUACUCUAAAUUAUUCCUUUAUAAACAGAUUCAGUUAUGUAUAAUUAGAAAGCCACAAGUGUAAGAACACCAAAGAUAAUUGACAAUGGAGAAAAUUUCACGUGCCUAUAUACAACCGGUUCACUAGGGCGAUUAUAAUACCCUGGCAGAUUCAUGGCGGCGAUAUCUAACAAUAAGUUCUAAAAGAAUCUUAUUGACCUGUUAAGACACGAGAGAGAAAGAAACCGUGGCAGCUGGCCUGGAAGAUCGUUGCGGAUCCUCCUCCUUUAUAGAAUCCUAUAUAAAUCGUGGACCGUGCCUUUCUACGGGGAAACACGUGCCAGCCACAUGUUGCAUAAAAGGAAUCGUCAGUGGUCCUUUCGAAUAUCCAUAGCGUAAAGUCGCAAUCACAAAGGAGCUUUAGGACCUAUAAAUGAUUCUCUUUCGACCGAAGGAUACGAAACAGCGGCAGAUGUUUUCCUUCUUUAUCUCUUCAAACAUGUCGAAUUCGGUAUGUACAGGCGUUUCUUAAGGAUAUGAGAUAACAGUAGUUGUUUCGUCUUCUUUGGAAAAGCUUAGUUAGUCGUUAAAAAGCUUUCGAUAUUUAUAGUAUCGUCAUUUUGAUAAAAAAAAAAUUGUUUGUACCAAGAUAUUAUUUAGAAUAUUUUCAAGUACAAAAUUUGUAACUCUAAUUAAGCUUGUAUAAUUUUUAAUUCGGAUUUCGUAUGAAUUUGCAAUGUGAGUUGUAUUAACAUUCUGCAAAAUCUAAAUUUUAUCGUAUUUGCAAUAAAGGUUAUAUUGUAAAGUGUUUGAAGAAAUAGUUUUUAAAUAAUCUUUUUAGUUGGGAAAGAAAUCACGAUUGUUCACGCACUCACGUUAAGAAAUGGAUUUCAUGUAGGGCCAACAGGCUGGCUGCGCAUGCAUCUAAUCGCACAACCUACGAUCAUGGAACGGAACGAUUCUUAAGAACGAACACGUGGUUGUGACCAUCUGUUAGCAUCCUGCUUCGUUCAUCCUACCCUAAGUUAGAGCCUUUUCGCCUUGCUAGUUCUUUCCUCCUGCACCUAGAAGAUCGACACAUAAGCAUCAAUCCUUUCAAGGCUAUUUGAUUUCUUAAACUCCAAGGACGAACUGAAAGCUGUUUAAAUUACAUCGUAUAACAGUAAAGUAAUGGACCAUUAACUAGAAGAGAAUUAUAGAAUACAGAAGAAUGAAAAAUGCACAGAAUAGAAUAAAUCAAUAACAUAACGCGAUAAACACGACAACAGAACAGAUGAAAUCCUCAAUCCCGAAAAUUAAUCCUCAUAAAAUACCAAAAGCAAUUUAUAUCGAGUUUCUCACAGAAGUUUAAACACUAAGGAUCUCAGCUUCUUAUCACCUUCACCAACUCUUCAUGAAACCACUACAAGGAACACAAGGCGUAAACUUUCCCAGCAUGCAAUACGCUCAAAUAUUUAGUUUAGGGGGCGACAUCGUUCGCUUUUAGCUGAGAGUCAGAGAUUUUAAGAGGUGCGUGAAAGACCGUCACAUGUUCUCCGCUUUUUUGCUCAUCAUCAGCCGCUCCGAAUUUAUUUUUACUAACGAAGAGGUACGUUCUUGCGUCGCCUACUUGUCACAGGACACCGUCGACGACUGGAAUAACAUUUCCACGGAGGAAUAACCGUCGCAUAUGAGUCAAAGUUGUAAAAGCUAGAAUAUCGCGGAGAUCGUUUAGGCGGGCCGCUUUGUGUCCUCGGUAAAAGGUGUUCCAAGCAGGUAAAACAUUCCUAUUGAAACGGUUCUACCUGACCCACCUGGCUUUCACGCUACAUUUUCGGCUCGACAACAGUUUCUCCCCAUGCAUAUGGAUAUCAAAAAAGGACUAGCUACAUAAAACGCAGAAUCUCCGUUAGCUAGAUCAGAAAUAUAACGCGAACGAUCUGUAGAUAUAUUGAAAACAAAAUUUUCAUUAAUUACA